AUGUGGGCACCUGAUAUCUAUGAGGGUUCACCCACCCCGGUGACAGCAUUCCUUUCUAUUGCGCCUAAAAUCUCUAUUUCUGCAAAUAUGUCACGUGUUUCUAUUGUUGCUUCCUAUGGGGGUACAAUUCAACAAAUCUUCUUUUUCUGCAGCAUUGCUUCUAUGAUCUUAGGAGCACUGGCCGCCAUGGCCCAAACGAAAGUCAAAAGACCUCUAGCUCAUAGUUCGAUUGGACAUGUAGGUUAUAUUCGUACUGGUUUCUCAUGUGGAACCAUAGAAGGAAUUCAAUCACUACUAAUUGGUAUAUUUAUUUAUGCAUCAAUGACGAUAGAUGCAUUCGCCAUAGUUCCAGCAUUACGGCAAACCCGUGUCAAAUAUAUAGCGGAUUUGGGCGCUCUAGCCAAAGCAAAUCCUAUUUCGGCUAUGACCAUCCCCAUUACAAUGUUCUCAUACGCAGGAAUACCCCCGUUAGCCAGCUUUUGUAGCAAAUUCUAUUUGUUCUUCGCCGCUUUGGGUUGUGGGGCUUACUUCCUAGCCCCAGUGGGAGUAGUGACUAGCAUUAUAGGUCGUUGGGCGGCCGGAAGGUUGCCAUGA
Molecule: ribosomal RNA, 594 nt
Filed under: Triticum aestivum (bread wheat)
Lineage: Eukaryota; Viridiplantae; Streptophyta; Magnoliopsida; Poales; Poaceae
Description: partial small subunit ribosomal RNA
Source: RNAcentral